UUUUCAUAUAAUAAUUUUUAUCAUUAAAAAAAUUAAAUAAAUAGUUUACAAGCCCGAUUUAAAAGAACCAAGCCCAUUCAAAAAAAAAACAGUGAGAAACAGGGGAUCGGGAAGAAGACUCCCGGUAAGAGUCUUCUUCUCCGAUCAAAUCUCGGAGAUCGGAAUCCUAGGACCUCUCGGAGUCCUAGGGUUCUCUACAAAAGGACCUUUCCCUUCCUUAGGAGCCGGUCAUCGGCCCUCUUCCCCUCUCUUUCUCCCUGUUUUUCCCGAUUGGAGCAGCGGACACUCCUCUUGUUCUCGCUGUGAUUGCUCGCCGGUGGGGUCACCGGAGGCCAAGGUGAGUUCCCCUUCUCUUCCUCUCUUCUUUCCCCUUCCUCCCGUGCCUUUGUGCGCGGCUGCCGGCGACGGGAGUCGCCGAUUCUUGGUCAGAAAAAGAGACCCCUGUUUUGGUCUCUUUUUCCUUGGAUUUUCCGGCGCCGGCGAUCGCAAUCGACCGCCGGCCAUGCAUCUCCAUAACCGGGGGAGUGGCCCCCUCUGCCGC
This 541-nucleotide long non-coding RNA is filed under the name Elaeis guineensis (African oil palm). Its description in RNAcentral is "long non-coding RNA (EGUI_LNC078943)". Lineage: Eukaryota; Viridiplantae; Streptophyta; Magnoliopsida; Arecales; Arecaceae. The record is from RNAcentral.